RNAcentral lists this ribosomal RNA (453 nucleotides) under uncultured archaeon. Its description in RNAcentral is "bacterial SSU rRNA". It matches the Rfam family "Archaeal small subunit ribosomal RNA", at positions 46 to 473 of the family's 1478-position model. The record is from RNAcentral.
UAGCCAUGCGAGUCGAACGUGCCCCUGCUCGCGGGGAGCGUGGCGUACGGCUCAGUAUCACGUACUCUACCUGUCCCUAGAGACAUGGACAACCCCGGGAAACUGGGAUUAAUCCGUGAUAGGUCAUCUCAUCUGGAAAGAGAGAUGGCUUAAAGGGGUGCAAGAGCUUCUUUCUUGUACUCUCUCUAGGAUGGGACUGCGGCCGAUCAGGCUGUUGGUGGGGUAAUGGCCCACCAAACCUGUAACCGGUACGGGCCUUGAGAGAGGGGGCCCGGAUAUGGACACUGAGAGAAGGGUCCACUUCCUACGGGGCGCAGCAGGCGCGAAACCUUCACAAUGCGCGAAAGCGUGAUGAGGUUAGUCCGAGUGGUCCCCGCUGAGGGGAUCUUUUGUCGGCUCUAAGACGGUCACUGAAUAAGGGGAGGGCACGUCUGGUGUCAGCCGCCGCGGUAA